RNAcentral lists this ribosomal RNA (468 nucleotides) under uncultured Streptococcus sp. Its description in RNAcentral is "bacterial SSU rRNA". It matches the Rfam family "Bacterial small subunit ribosomal RNA", at positions 910 to 1382 of the family's 1533-position model. Lineage: Bacteria; Bacillati; Bacillota; Bacilli; Lactobacillales; Streptococcaceae. The record is from RNAcentral.
UUGACGGGGCCGCACAAGCGGUGGAGCAUGUGGUUUAAUCGAAGCAACGCGAAGAACCUUACCAGGUCUUGACAUCCCGAUGCUAUUUCUAGAGAUAGAAAGUUACUUCGGUACAUCGGUGACAGGUGGUGCAUGGUUGUCGUCAGCUCGUGUCGUGAGAUGUUGGGUUAAGUCCCGCAACGAGCGCAACCCCUAUUGUUAGUUGCCAUCAUUCAGUUGGGCACUCUAGCGAGACUGCCGGUAAUAAACCGGAGGAAGGUGGGAUGACGUCAAAUCAUCAUGCCCCUUAUGACCUGGGCUACACACGUGCUACAAUGGUUGGUACAACGAGUUGCGAGUCGGUGACGGCGAGCUAAUCUCUUAAAGCCAAUCUCAGUUCGGAUUGUAGGCUGCAACUCGCCUACAUGAAGUCGGAAUCGCUAGUAAUCGCGGAUCAGCACGCCGCGGUCGAAUACGUUCCCGGGCCUU